This 468-nucleotide ribosomal RNA is filed under the name uncultured bacterium. RNAcentral describes it as "partial 16S ribosomal RNA". It matches the Rfam family "Bacterial small subunit ribosomal RNA", at positions 28 to 507 of the family's 1533-position model. The record is from RNAcentral.
GAUGAACGCUGGCGGCGUGCCUAACACAUGCAAGUCGAACGGAAAGGCCCUGAUUUUGCGGGGCGGUCGAGUGGCGAACGGGUGAGUAACACGUGAGUAACCUGCCCUUGACUUUGGGAUAACUUCAGGAAACUGGGGCUAAUACCGGAUAGGAGCUCCUGCUGCAUGGUGGGGGUUGGAAAGUUUCGGCGGUUGGGGAUGGACUCGCGGCUUAUCAGCUUGUUGGUGGGGUAGUGGCUUACCAAGGCUUUGACGGGUAGGCGGCCUGGGAGGGUGACCGGCCACAUUGGGACUGAGAUACGGCCCAGACUCCUACGGGAGGCAGCAGUGGAGAAUAUUACACAAUGGGCGGAAGCCUGAUGCAGCGACGCCACGUGCGGGAUGACGGGCUUCGGGUUGUGAACCACUGUCGCCUGUGACGAGGCGUGAGUGACGGUAAUGUAUAAAGAAGCACCGGCUAACUACGUG